This 944-nucleotide long non-coding RNA is filed under the name Gadus morhua (Atlantic cod). Its description in RNAcentral is "lncRNA (ENSGMOG00000036810.1)". The record is from RNAcentral. Lineage: Eukaryota; Metazoa; Chordata; Actinopteri; Gadiformes; Gadidae.
AUCGCGCUGUGUUCGUGACACAGACCCUGUUCAGAGGAUCUGUUCGGGCCAGCCAUGAACCUAUUGGGGCUAACAGGAAGAAAGUCGAAAUAAAUCCCAUGACGCUGACGUCAUGAGGAAUGCAGGGCAAACACAAAUGAGCAGAGAAAUGAUUGACCCGGCGACCACACAGGCACAGCCCAGAGAGAAACAUGGCUUCUCUGUGUUGCUGUUGCUUCUCUGGGGAAAACGCCGAUGACGAGAGGCGUCCGUUGCUUCAACCUGCAGCAUCCACACAAUUUACCACGACUGAAUCCGCCAGACAGAACCGGCCAGCCCCCUCUGGGGACACAGCUACGACACACGGCGGUAGACUGGAGAUGAGGAGGGUCGGCCUGUCAGAGUUGGACCAGAGGUUCUCUGACGUUGCGGAGACCUUUAACGAGCAGCGGGAACACUACGAGGCCCUGGCACGAUGCGUCGCCCACCUGCGGCAGUCCUACGGCUGUAGCCAUGACAACACACUUCUUCUCUCCGAUUGCGUGAAUAAGAUCAGAGAUGAGCACGACCUACACUACAGGAUCAGCCUCCAGAUGAAGGGCUAUGACUUCCACCUGUCUGCGGCCCCGGUGGAGUCCGCGGAGGUCCGGGAUAACGAGCCACCCCCUCAACGCCUGCUGUCGGCCCAGGACGAGCUGAGGGCCGUGUCUCAGGCCGCAAAGAUGACCGUCUCGCUGGGGACCAAGCUCCAGGAGCUGAUUGGUUGGCUGCUCCGGAGCGAGGAAAAGCUGGCCGGCCAGGUGGCCAAAGCGGCGCCAAACUACCAGGAGCGGAGGCGGCUGGAGGAGAACCUGCAGGCCUGCUUGAGGGAGAUGAGGAGGGGGAAGGAGCUAUCGGUGGGAUACAAACAGAGAGCUGGGGAGGUCCUCAAUGAGGCUGCUCAGCUAGCCGGAGUGGAGCCUUAG